GGACUCGCACAAGCGGUGGAGCAUGUGGUUUAAUUCGACGCAACGCGAAAAACCUUACCAGGUCUUGACAUCCCUCUGACGUCACUAGAGAUAGUGAUUCCCUUCGGGGCAGAGGUGACAGGUGGUGCAUGGUUGUCGUCAGCUCGUGUCGUGAGAUGUUGGGUUAAGUCCCGCAACGAGCGCAACCCUCAUCGUUAGUUGCUAACAUUAAGUUGAGAACUCUAACGAGACUGCCAGUGACAAACUGGAGGAAGGUGGGGAUGACGUCAAAUCAUCAUGCCCCUUAUGACCUGGGCUACACACGUGCUACAAUGGCUGGUACAAAGAGUGGCGAAGCCGUGAGGUGGAGCAAAUCUCAAAAAGCCAGUCUCAGUUCGGAUUGUAGUCUGCAACUCGACUACAUGAAGGUGGAAUCGCUAGUAAUCGCGAAUCAGCAUGUCGCGGUGAAUACGUUCUCGAGUCUU
This 464-nucleotide ribosomal RNA is filed under the name uncultured bacterium. Its description in RNAcentral is "bacterial SSU rRNA". It matches the Rfam family "Bacterial small subunit ribosomal RNA", at positions 917 to 1382 of the family's 1533-position model. The record is from RNAcentral.